UACGGAGGGUGCAAGCGUUAUCCGGAUUUACUGGGUUUAAAGGGUGCGUAGGCGGACUUUUAAGUCAGUGGUGAAAGCUCCGAGCUUAACUCGGAAACUGCCAUUGAUACUAUUAGUCUUGAAUUCGGUUGAGGUUGGCGGAAUGUGUCGUGUAGCGGUGAAAUGCUUAGAUAUGACACAGAACACCGAUUGCGAAGGCAGCUAGCUAAACCGACAUUGGCGCUGAGGCACGAAAGCGUGGGGAUCAAACAGG
This 253-nucleotide ribosomal RNA is filed under the name uncultured bacterium. RNAcentral's name for it is "partial 16S ribosomal RNA". It matches the Rfam family "Bacterial small subunit ribosomal RNA", at positions 524 to 776 of the family's 1533-position model. The record is from RNAcentral.